Molecule: long non-coding RNA, 226 nt
Filed under: Elaeis guineensis (African oil palm)
Lineage: Eukaryota; Viridiplantae; Streptophyta; Magnoliopsida; Arecales; Arecaceae
Description: long non-coding RNA (EGUI_LNC039870)
Source: RNAcentral
GACAAACUUUUUCUCAAGGUAUCUGCAUAUGAUGUGCAGCCACCGCUCUAUAUGCUUGGACUUCUAGUGAGAUCUCACUCCUUAACGAGGGCUAUGGCAUCGUUAUUGUCACAGUGUAGUGUGAUAGCAUCUGAUGGCAUGACACCUAGCUUCGUGAGGAACUUCUUGAACUAGAAUGCUUCUUUAGCAGCUUCAGAGGCAGCAUUGUACUCGACUUCGAUGGUCA